This is a non-coding RNA of Melozone crissalis (California towhee), 621 nucleotides long. The record is from the annotation of a RefSeq genome assembly. Lineage: Eukaryota; Metazoa; Chordata; Aves; Passeriformes; Passerellidae.
AUGCAGUGGAUCCGCCAGAGACCCGGGCAGGGCUUGGAGUUGCUCGCAGGGAUCAGUGACAAUGGUGGCACCACCAACUAUGUGCUAUCGGUCAAGGGGCUCCAGGCGGCCGUGAUCCUUCUGGAGUUCGGGGGAGGCCUCCAGCCCCCCGGGGCGUCCAUGCGUGUCCUCUGCCGAGGACCGGAUUUGAUUUCGGGAGCAAUGGAAUGUUCUGGAUUUGGGGAUGGGCUCCGGGCGGCCGUGACCCUGCUGGAGUGCGGGGGAGACCUCCAGCCCCCCGGGGAGCCCCUGCGCCUCCUCUGCCGAGGGUCCGGGUUCAGUUUCGGGAAUUUUGGGCUGGGAUGGAUCCGCCAGAGACCCGGGCAGGGGCUGGAGUGGCUCGCGGGGAUCACCAACACUGGUGGAAACAUCGGCUACGCGCCAUCGGUCAAGGGCCGGUUCACGAUCUCCAGGGACAACGGGCAGAGCUCGGUGACGCUGACCAUGAACAACCUCAAGGACGAGGAUUCCGGAUCCUAUUUCUGUGCCAGGAAACCCGGGCAGGGGCUGGAAUAUGUCGCAAGGAUCCACAGCAGUGGUGCUUACGCCGACUACGCGCCAUCGGGCUCCGGGCGGCCGUGA